RNAcentral lists this ribosomal RNA (301 nucleotides) under uncultured bacterium. Its description in RNAcentral is "partial 16S ribosomal RNA". It matches the Rfam family "Bacterial small subunit ribosomal RNA", at positions 509 to 807 of the family's 1533-position model. The record is from RNAcentral.
CAGUAGCCGCGGUAAUACGAAGGGUGCAAGCGUUACUCGGAAUUACUGGGCGUAAAGCGUGCGUAGGUGGUGGUUUAAGUCCGUUGUGAAAGCCCUGGGCUCAACCUGGGAAUUGCAGUGGAUACUGGGUCACUAGAGUGUGGUAGAGGAUAGUGGAAUUUCCGGUGUAGCAGUGAAAUGCGUAGAGAUCGGAAGGAACAUCUGUGGCGAAGGCGACUAUCUGGGCCAACACUGACACUGAGGCACGAAAGCGUGGGGAGCAAACAGGAUUAGAUACCCGCGUAGUCCCUGUCUCUUAUAC